AACUCUUACUAAACAUAAGAUAAUUCACACUGAGGAGAAACCCUACAAAUGUGAAGAUCGUGGCAGAUCCUUUGGAUGGUCCACAAACCUGAACGAAUAUAAGAAAAUUCAUACUGGAGAUAAACUCUACAAAUGUAAAGAAUGUGGGAAAGUGUUUAAACAGUCCUCACACCUGAAUAGACAUGAGAAAAUUCAUACUGGAAAGAAA
RNAcentral lists this unclassified non-coding RNA (208 nucleotides) under Hevea brasiliensis (rubber tree). Lineage: Eukaryota; Viridiplantae; Streptophyta; Magnoliopsida; Malpighiales; Euphorbiaceae. The record is from RNAcentral.